RNAcentral lists this transfer RNA (71 nucleotides) under Cricetulus griseus (Chinese hamster). It matches the Rfam family "tRNA". Rfam says of the family: Transfer RNA (tRNA) molecules are approximately 80 nucleotides in length. Their secondary structure includes four short double-helical elements and three loops (D, anti-codon, and T loops). Lineage: Eukaryota; Metazoa; Chordata; Mammalia; Rodentia; Cricetidae. The record is from Rfam by way of RNAcentral.
GAGAAUGUGGCUCAGUGGUAGAGCACUUACCUAGAAUUUAGAAGCACUGGGUUCCUUCCCCAGUAUUGCCA